Molecule: ribosomal RNA, 253 nt
Filed under: uncultured bacterium
Lineage: Bacteria
Description: partial 16S ribosomal RNA
Rfam family: Bacterial small subunit ribosomal RNA
Source: RNAcentral
GACGAACCGUGCGAACGUUGUUCGGAUUCACUGGGCUUAAAGGGCGCGUAGGCGGGCCACUCAGUCCGGGGUGAAAUCUUUCGGCUUAACCGGAAACGAGCCUUGGAGACGGGUGGUCUGGAGGGAGAUAGGGGCAGGUGGAACUUCCGGUGGAGCGGUGAAAUGCGUAGAGAUCAGGAGGAACACCCAUGGCGAAGGCAGCACGCUGGUCCGACCCUGACGCUGAGACGCGAAAGCGUGGGGAGCGAACGGG